Molecule: ribosomal RNA, 730 nt
Filed under: uncultured bacterium
Lineage: Bacteria
Description: bacterial SSU rRNA
Rfam family: Bacterial small subunit ribosomal RNA
Source: RNAcentral
AACAGGAUUAGAUACCCUGGUAGUCCAUACCGUAAACGAUGAAUGCUAAGUGUUGGAGGGUUUCCGCCCUUCAGUGCUGCAGCUAACGCAUUAAGCAUCCCGCCUGGGGAGUACGGCCGCAAGGCUGAAACUCAAAGGAAUUGACGGGGGCCCGCACAAGCGGUGGAGCAUGUGGUUUAAUUCGAAGCUACGCGAAGAACCUUACCAGGUCUUGACAUCUUGCGCUAACCUAAGAGAUUAGGCGUUCCCUUCGGGGACGCAAUGACAGGUGGUGCAUGGUCGUCGUCAGCUCGUGUCGUGAGAUGUUGGGUUAAGUCCCGCAACGAGCGCAACCCUUGUUACUAGUUGCCAGCAUUCAGUUGGGCACUCUAGUGAGACUGCCGGUGACAAACCGGAGGAAGGUGGGGACGACGUCAGAUCAUCAUGCCCCUUAUGACCUGGGCUACACACGUGCUACAAUGGUCGGUACAACGAGUCGCUAACCCGCGAGGGCAAGCUAAUCUCUUAAAGCCGAUCUCAGUUCGGACUGUAGGCUGCAACUCGCCUACACGAAGUCGGAAUCGCUAGUAAUCGCGGAUCAGCAUGCCGCGGUGAAUACGUUCCCGGGCCUUGCACACACCGCCCGUCACACCAUGGAAGUUUGUAACGCCCAAAGUCGGUGGCCUAACCAUUUGGAGGGAGCCGCCUAAGGCGGGACAGAUGACUGGGGUGAAGUCGUAACAAGGUAACC